RNAcentral lists this microRNA (25 nucleotides) under Schmidtea mediterranea. RNAcentral describes it as "sme-miR-1c-5p". Its record names the gene sme-miR-1c-5p. Lineage: Eukaryota; Metazoa; Platyhelminthes; Tricladida; Dugesiidae. The record is from miRBase by way of RNAcentral.
CACAUUAUUCAAAACAUUGAAUCAC